AUCCCAAUAUACGAUACACAAGGCCAGCAGCAGACCACUGGUAAAAUCAACCAUUAGACCAUGCCCAACAAACAAUGUGCCAUCUUACUAACUGAAAUAAAACAACAUAGUAUGAUAGAUGAACAUAAUUUCCCUGACCCAAUCAGAGGGCAGGAUAUUCUUGCAGUAGGAGAGCUCAAUCAUCAAGAUAAAAGUUGUUCUCUUUUAAUUCCAGCAAAUCUUUGAUGCACUUCCAUGUAGAUAGACAAGCAACAAUUCUCUCAGAGACAGACAGAAUGCAAUCCAAAUACAAUCAAGUUGAUAUUACUCCUAGUAGAAUCCAUCCUCCGAUUCAGCAACAAAUAUACUUUACUGAGUCAUCACCAGCUUCCCAGACAUACUGCUGCCUGAGGAUGAUCAGUUCUACUCUCAGUACCUGGCCCGAUCAUCAUCACGCUUGUCAUUUUCGUAUCUUCUCCUCUCAUUUGAUCGGGAAUCACCAUAUCUUGCUCUCUUAGAGUAAUCCAUUUGUUUGUCCCUAUCAUGACUUUUACUUCCUCGCUCUUCUUCCUCACCUCUUCCACGCCUUCGGCUUUCAUACCUUUGGUCAUCAUCAACUUUUACAUGCUUUCCAUAUUUGUCAUUAUGCUCUUCAUCUCUUUUGUACUUUCUCUCUUUAUGUUCCUCUUCAUCCCUGUGGUGCCUCAUCCCCUU
This 693-nucleotide unclassified non-coding RNA is filed under the name Hevea brasiliensis (rubber tree). Lineage: Eukaryota; Viridiplantae; Streptophyta; Magnoliopsida; Malpighiales; Euphorbiaceae. The record is from RNAcentral.